Molecule: small RNA, 1139 nt
Filed under: Pongo abelii (Sumatran orangutan)
Lineage: Eukaryota; Metazoa; Chordata; Mammalia; Primates; Hominidae
Description: transcribed unitary pseudogene
Source: RNAcentral
GGAGAGAAACACUAUGAAUCUAAUGAAUUUGGAAAAUUUAGCAAGAAAUUAAACUUUACCCAACAUCAAAGAAUGUACACAGGAGAAAAACCUGAUGAGUGUAAAGAAAAUUAGAAAGCCCUGAAGAAGUUAUACCAUACUCAAAAUGAGAGAACUCAAGCAGGAGAGAAAAUCUAUGAUUGUAAGAAAUGUGGGAAAUUCUUUCAUGAAAAAGCAUGCCUUACUCAACAUCAGAGAACCCACACAACAGGAAAACCCAGCAAGUGUAAUGAUAGUGAAAGAGUCUCAAAGAAGGAAUCUUGCCUCACUCCCAGUCAGAGAAUUAAAACAAGAUUAAAACAAGAGAGAAAAACUGUAAAGGUAAUAAAUGUGAGAAACCUUUCUUUGAGAAGUUGAAACACACUCAACAUCAGAGAAGGCACUUGGGGAAAAAAAAUAAUGGGUGUAAUGAAAGUGGGGUUGCCUCAAGUAGGAAGUCACAACUUACACAAAGCCAGAGAGCUCACAAAAAAGAGAAGACCUAUGACUGUAAUAAAUGUGGAGAAAGCUUCCAUAAGAAAACAGAUCUCAGACAGCAUCAGAGCACACACACAGGGAAAAAAAACCCUAUGAAUGUAAUGAAUGUGAAAAAUCCUUCGUUGUGAAGUCCAACUACACUGAACAUCAGAGAACUCACACAGGAGAAAAACCAUAUGAAUGUAAUGAAUGUGGAAAGUCCUUCUGCCAGAAAUCAGCCCUCACAGUACAUCGGAGAACUCACACGGGAGAGAAACCAUAUAAACGUAAUGAAUGUGGGAAAACCUUCUGUGUGAAAUCAAACCUUACUCAACAUCGAAGGACUCACACACUGUGAGAAACCCUAUAAAUGUAAUGAGUGCUGGAGAUCUUACUGUGUGAAAUCCAACCUUGUCGUGCAUCAGAGAACUCAUACAGGAGAAAAACCCUACAGAUGUCCUGAGUGUGGGAAAACCUUCUAUGAAAAGUCAGCCCUCACAAAACAUGAGCGAAUUCACACAGGGGAAAAACUCUAUGGAUGUAAUGAAUGUAGAAAAACCUUCAGCCAGAGGUCAGCCCUCACCAAACAUCAAAGGAAAACACACAAGAAGAAAACUCCCAUCAACACCCUCCAUGUGCAGAAA